AUUGAACGCUAGCGGGAUGCUUUACACAUGCAAGUCGAACGGCAGCGCGAACUUCGGUUUGGCGGCGAGUGGCGAACGGGUGAGUAAUAUAUCGGAACGUACCCAGUAGCGGGGGAUAACUACUCGAAAGAGUAGCUAAUACCGCAUACGCCCUACGGGGGAAAGGGGGGGAUCGCAAGACCUCUCACUAUUGGAGCGGCCGAUAUCGGAUUAGCUAGUUGGUGGGGUAAAGGCUCACCAAGGCGACGAUCCGUAGCUGGUUUGAGAGGACGACCAGCCACACUGGGACUGAGACACGGCCCANACUCCUACGGGAGGCAGCAGUGGGGAAUUUUGGACAAUGGGGGAAACCCUGAUCCAGCCAUCCCGCGUGUGCGAUGAANGCCUUCNGGUUGUAAAGCACUUUUGGCANGAAAGAAAUC
This 422-nucleotide ribosomal RNA is filed under the name uncultured Alcaligenes sp. Its description in RNAcentral is "bacterial SSU rRNA". It matches the Rfam family "Bacterial small subunit ribosomal RNA", at positions 30 to 452 of the family's 1533-position model. Lineage: Bacteria; Pseudomonadati; Pseudomonadota; Betaproteobacteria; Burkholderiales; Alcaligenaceae. The record is from RNAcentral.